This 406-nucleotide ribosomal RNA is filed under the name uncultured bacterium. Its description in RNAcentral is "bacterial SSU rRNA". It matches the Rfam family "Bacterial small subunit ribosomal RNA", at positions 354 to 777 of the family's 1533-position model. The record is from RNAcentral.
GUGGGGGAUAUUGCACAAUGGGGGAAACCCUGAUGCAGCGAUGCCGCGUGAGGGAAGAAGGUUUUCGGAUUGUAAACCUCUGUGGAGGGGGACGAUAAUGACGGUACCCCUUAAGGAAGCCACGGCUAACUACGUGCCAGCAGCCGCGGUAAUACGUAGGUGGCGAGCGUUGUCCGGAAUUACUGGGUGUAAAGGGAGCGUAGGCGGGAAAGCAAGUCAGAAGUGAAAACUAUGGGCUCAACCCAUAGCCUGCUUUUGAAACUGUUUUUCUUGAGUGAGUCAGAGGCAAGCGGAAUUCCCAGUGUAGCGGUGAAAUGCGUAGAUAUUGGGAGGAACACCAGUGGCGAAGGCGGCUUGCUGGGGCUUUACUGACGCUGAGGCUCGAAAGCGUGGGGAGCAAACAGGA